This 273-nucleotide long non-coding RNA is filed under the name Fukomys damarensis (Damara mole-rat). Its description in RNAcentral is "lncRNA (ENSFDAG00000021746.1)". Lineage: Eukaryota; Metazoa; Chordata; Mammalia; Rodentia; Bathyergidae. The record is from RNAcentral.
AUGAUCCAGGAAGAAAAAUUAGAUUCUCAAGUUGUACUGAAUCAGCUCAAGAGGAUUGAGUUUCUUGAAGAAACAUCAGGGAAUUAUUAUUUUCCAUUUCUGGAAAAACACAAAGAAUAGUAACAACAUCGAAGGGAAAACACAUUUUCAUCACCAUCCUCCCCGGUCAUUGUUUGUGAAUGGCAGCGUGAAGUCUGGGUUUGUCAUAGCCUCCUGGAAACAGUAUUUUGAUAGGUCUACAAUAAAAAAGCAACCACCUGUAGGCAAUGGAGU